This 375-nucleotide long non-coding RNA is filed under the name Carica papaya (papaya). RNAcentral describes it as "long non-coding RNA (CPAP_LNC005196)". Lineage: Eukaryota; Viridiplantae; Streptophyta; Magnoliopsida; Brassicales; Caricaceae. The record is from RNAcentral.
UGCCUACUGGUAUCCAUGAAGCUCCAUAGGGAUGUCUCAACUACGCGUGAACCCUUUUUCAAUAUUUUCAACUAACGGACCGUCUCCAUACCCCGUUUGGUAUGAGUGCAAAGAAAUAUCAUCCAUCAAUACCCCGUCCGGUAUGAGGGUGAAACGGGUUAUCCCCAUACCCCUUCCGAUAUGAGUACCAAAUUACUAAUCCUCGAUAUCCCAUCCGGUAUAAGCGCCAAAUUACCAAUCCUCGAUACCCUGUUCGGUAUGAGAAAAUAUUCACGGUAGAGUUCUCUAUGUACCCGAUCCGUCCACCAUCUUCUAAGAUAUCCAGUAAGGCUGUCAUUCAUCCAUUCACUUAAUUAAACAAUUUCUCACUUACCU